AUUGAACGCUGGCGGCAUGCCUUACACAUGCAAGUCGAACGGUAACGGGCCUUCGGGUGCCGACGAGUGGCGAACGGGUGAGUAAUACAUCGGAACGUGCCCGAUCGUGGGGGAUAACGAGGCGAAAGCUUUGCUAAUACCGCAUACGAUCUACGGAUGACAGCAGGGGACCGCAAGGCCUUGCGCGGACGGAGCGGCCGAUGGCAGAUUAGGUAGUUGGUUGGAUAAAAGCUUACCAAGCCGACGAUCUGUAGCUGGUCUGAGAGGAUGAUCAGCCACACUGGGACUGAGACACGGCCCAGACUCCUACGGGAGGCAGCAGUGGGGAAUUUUGGACAAUGGGAGCAAGCCUGAUCCAGCCAUGCCGCGUGGAGGAUGAAGGCCUUCGGGUUGUAAACUGCUUUUGUACGGAACGAAAAGCCUUCUUUUAAUACAGGAGGGUCAUGACGGUACCGUAAGAAUAAGCACCGGCUAACUACGUG
Molecule: ribosomal RNA, 482 nt
Filed under: uncultured bacterium
Lineage: Bacteria
Description: partial 16S ribosomal RNA
Rfam family: Bacterial small subunit ribosomal RNA
Source: RNAcentral